AUUGAACGCUGGCGGCAUGCCUUACACAUGCAAGUCGAACGGUAACAGGUUAAGCUGACGAGUGGCGAACGGGUGAGUAAUGUAUCGGAACGUGCCCAGUCGUGGGGGAUAACUGCUCGAAAGAGCAGCUAAUACCGCAUACGACCUGAGGGUGAAAGCGGGGAUCCCAAAACCCCCCGCGAAUGGAACCGCCGAUAUCAGAUUAGGUAGUUGGUGAGGUAAAGGCUCACCAAGCCGACGAUCUGUAGCUGGUCUGAGAGGACGACCAGCCACACUGGGACUGAGACACGGCCCAGACUCCUACGGGAGGCAGCAGUGGGGAAUUUUGGACAAUGGGCGCAAGCCUGAUCCAGCCAUGCCGCGUGCGGGAAGAAGGCCUUCGGGUUGUAAACCGCUUUUGUCAGGGAAGAAAAGGUUCUGGCUAAUACCUGGGACUCAUGACGGUACCUGAAGAAUAAGCACCGGCUAACUACGUG
RNAcentral lists this ribosomal RNA (476 nucleotides) under uncultured bacterium. RNAcentral describes it as "partial 16S ribosomal RNA". It matches the Rfam family "Bacterial small subunit ribosomal RNA", at positions 30 to 507 of the family's 1533-position model. The record is from RNAcentral.